AGAGUUUGAUCCUGGCUCAGAGCGAACGCUGGCGGCGUGCUUAACACAUGCAAGUCGAGUGCGCGCCUGUAGCAAUACAGGUGGCGCACGGCGCACGGGUGCGUAACACGUGGGUAAUCUGCCCUUCGAUGGGGAAUAACCUCGCGAAAGCGAGGCUAAUUCCGCAUAACAUUCCGAGGAUCUCGGUCCUUGGAUUCAAAGUCGCAAGGCGCCGAUGGAAUGGCUCGCGUUCGAUUAGCUAGUUAGUGGGGUAAUGGCCUACCAAGGCGACGAUCGAUAGCUGGUCUCAGAGGAUGAUCAGCCAGACUGGGACUGAGACACGGCCCAGACUCCUACGGGAGGCAGCAGUUAGGAAUUUUGGGCAAUGGGCGCAAGCCUGACCCAGCAACGCCGCGUGGGUGACGAAGGCCUUCGGGUUGUAAAGCCCUUUUCUGAGGGAAGAUGAUGACGGUACCUCAGGAAUAAGCACCGGCUAACUACGUGCCAGCAGCCGCGGUAAUA
RNAcentral lists this ribosomal RNA (501 nucleotides) under uncultured bacterium. RNAcentral describes it as "bacterial SSU rRNA". It matches the Rfam family "Bacterial small subunit ribosomal RNA", at positions 8 to 525 of the family's 1533-position model. The record is from RNAcentral.